This 433-nucleotide unclassified non-coding RNA is filed under the name soil metagenome. RNAcentral's name for it is "partial contains 5.8S ribosomal RNA, internal transcribed spacer 2, and large subunit ribosomal RNA". The stretch from base 1 to 120 matches the Rfam family "5.8S ribosomal RNA", at positions 35 to 154 of the family's 154-position model. The record is from RNAcentral.
GAUGAAGAACGCAGCGAAAUGCGAUACGUAAUGUGAAUUGCAGAAUUCAGUGAAUCAUCGAAUCUUUGAACGCAUAUUGCGCUCUCUGGUAUUCCGGAGAGCAUGCUUGUUUGAGUAUCAGUAAACACCUCAACUUCCAUAUCUUUUUUGAAAUGGGAGUUGGACUUGAGUGAUCCCAACGCUUUUCCUCACCGAAAAGUGGCGGGUUACUUGAAAUGCAGGUGCAGCUGGACUUUUCUCUGAGCUAUAAGCAUAUCUAUUUAGUCUGCCUAAAAAACAGAUUAUUACCUUUGCUGCAGCUAACAUAAAGGAGAUUAGUUCUUGUGCUGACUGAUGCAGGAUUCACAAAGACAGGCUUCGGCCGACUUUAUAAACUCGAUCUCAAAUCAAGUAAGACUACCCGCUGAACUUAAGCAUAUCAAUAAGCGGAGGA